RNAcentral lists this ribosomal RNA (1259 nucleotides) under metagenome. Its description in RNAcentral is "bacterial LSU rRNA". It matches the Rfam family "Bacterial large subunit ribosomal RNA", at positions 1691 to 2925 of the family's 2925-position model. The record is from RNAcentral.
UGAGAGAACUCGGGUUAAGGAACUCUGCAAAUUGAUACCGUAACUUCGGAAGAAGGUAUGCCUUCGACGGUGUAGGGAUUUACUCCCGAAGCUGUUGAAGGUCGCAGGUAAUCGGUGGCUGCGACUGUUUAUCAAAAACACAGGACUCUGCGAACACGCAAGUGGAAGUAUAGGGUCUGACGCCUGCCCGGUGCCGGAAGGUUAAUUGAUGGGGUUAGCCGCAAGGCGAAGCUCUUGAUCGAAGCCCCGGUAAACGGCGGCCGUAACGAUAACGGUCCUAAGGUAGCGAAAUUCCUUGUCGGGUAAGUUCCGACCUGCACGAAUGGCGUAACGCUGGCCACACUGUCUCGACCCGAGACUCAGUGAAGUUGAAAUCGCUGUGAAGAUGCGGCGUUCCCGCGGCAAGACGGAAAGACCCCGUGAACCUUCACUACAGCUUUACAUUGAACUUUGAAUCUUCCUGUGUAGCAUAGGUGGGAGGCUUUGAAGCCUGGGCGCUAGCUCAGGUGGAGCCAACGUUGAAAUACCACCCUGGGAUAUUCGGAGUUCUAACCUUGGUCCGUGAUCCGGAUUGGGGACAAUGUAUGGUGGGUAGUUUGACUGGGGCGGUCUCCUCCCAAAGAGUAACGGAGGAGUGCAAUGGUACGCUCAGCGCGGUCGGUCAUCGCGCUCUAGAGUGCAAAGGCAUAAGCGUGCUUAACUGUGAGACAGACACGUCGAACAGGUACGAAAGUAGGUCUUAGUGAUCCGGUGGUUCUGUAUGGAAGGGCCAUCGCUCAACGGAUAAAAGGUACUCCGGGGAUAACAGGCUUAUUCCUCCCAAGAGUCCACAUCGACGGAGGAGUUUGGCACCUCGAUGUCGGCUCAUCACAUCCUGGGGCUGUAGCAGGUCUCAAGGGUAUGGCUGUUCGCCAUUUAAAGUGGUACGCGAGCUGGGUUCAGAACGUCGUGAGACAGUUCGGUCCCUAUCUGCCGUGGGCGUUGGAAACUUGAGGGUGAGCUGUCCUUAGUACGAGAGGACCGGGAUGGACGUAUCUCUGGUGUUCCGGUUGUCACGCCAGUGGCACUGCCGGGUAGCUAUAUACGGACGGGAUAAGCGCUGAAAGCAUCUAAGCGCGAAGCCCCCCCCAAGAUUAGGUUUCCCAGGGAACUCGAUUCCCCUAAAGGGCCGUCGGAGACUACGACGUUGAUAGGCUGGGUGUGUAAGUGCAGCAAUGCAUUGAGCCAACCAGUACUAAUUGCCCGUGAGGCUUGACCUA